Camelus ferus (Wild Bactrian camel) is the source of this 72-nucleotide transfer RNA. It matches the Rfam family "tRNA". Rfam says of the family: Transfer RNA (tRNA) molecules are approximately 80 nucleotides in length. Their secondary structure includes four short double-helical elements and three loops (D, anti-codon, and T loops). NCBI's taxonomy places the organism in Eukaryota, Metazoa, Chordata, Mammalia, Artiodactyla, Camelidae. The record is from Rfam.
GAGGAUAUAGCUCAGUGGUAGAGUGCAUGCUUAGCAUGCACGAGGUCCUGGGUUCAAUCCCCAGUACCUCCU